CCUACGGGAGGCAGCAGUGAGGCAUAUUUGUCAAUGGACGAGAGUCUGAACCAGCCAAGUAGCGUGAAGGAUGACUGCCCUAUGGGUUGUAAACUUCUUUUAUAUGGGAAUAAAAUGUUCCACGUGUGGGAUUUUGUAUGUACCAUAUGAAUAAGGAUCGGCUAACUCCGUGCCAGCAGCCGCGGUAAUACGGAGGAUCCGAGCGUUAUCCGGAUUUAUUGGGUUUAAAGGGCGCGUAGGUGGAUUGUUAAGUCAGUUGUGAAAGUUUGCGGCUCAACCGUAAAAUUGCAGUUGAAACUGGCAGUCUUGAGUACAGUAGAGGUGGGCGGAAUUCGUGGUGUGGCGGUGAAAUGCUUAGAUAUCACGAAGAACUCCGAUUGCGAAGGCAGUUCACUGGACUGCAACUGACACUGAGGCUCGAAAGUGUGGGUAUCAAACAGGAUUAGAUACCCCAGUAGUC
RNAcentral lists this ribosomal RNA (460 nucleotides) under uncultured bacterium. Its description in RNAcentral is "partial 16S ribosomal RNA". It matches the Rfam family "Bacterial small subunit ribosomal RNA", at positions 338 to 795 of the family's 1533-position model. The record is from RNAcentral.